This is a long non-coding RNA of Ipomoea nil (Japanese morning glory), 123 nucleotides long. RefSeq lists it as uncharacterized. NCBI's taxonomy places the organism in Eukaryota, Viridiplantae, Streptophyta, Magnoliopsida, Solanales, Convolvulaceae. The transcript is spliced from 2 exons. The record is from RefSeq and is a predicted model, not a curated record.
GAUUAUGUUAUGUCGUGGUUUAAUUAUAUUCAUUCAUAGCUAAUUAAUAAGUUAAUUUAUUUCUUUUUGAUAUCCUUAUUAUGUAUUGCAUUAGAAAGAUUAAAGUGUGUACUAUUUUAUUUU